This 493-nucleotide ribosomal RNA is filed under the name uncultured bacterium. RNAcentral's name for it is "bacterial SSU rRNA". It matches the Rfam family "Bacterial small subunit ribosomal RNA", at positions 987 to 1483 of the family's 1533-position model. The record is from RNAcentral.
UCCCCUGCAUAACCCAGAGAUGGGCGAAGUCCUUCGGGACAGGGUGACAGGUGGUGCAUGGUUGUCGUCAGCUCGUGUCGUGAGAUGUUGGGUUAAGUCCCGCAACGAGCGCAACCCUUAUCAUUAGUUGCUACCAUUAAGUUGAGCACUCUAGUGAGACUGCCCGGGUCAACCGGGAGGAAGGUGGGGAUGACGUCAAAUCAUCAUGCCCCUUAUGUCUAGGGCUACACACGUGCUACAAUGGUGAGUACAAAGAGAUGCAAGACCGCAAGGUGGAGCCAAACUCAAAAACUCAUCCCAGUUCGGAUUGUAGGCUGCAACUCGCCUACAUGAAGCCGGAGUUGCUAGUAAUCGCGAAUCAGCAUGUCGCGGUGAAUACGUUCCCGGGCCUUGUACACACCGCCCGUCACACCAUGAGAGCUGGUAACACCCGAAGUCCGUGAGGUAACCGUAAGGAGCCAGCGGCCGAAGGUGGGAUUAGUGAUUGGGGUGA